CUGUGACAUAAACCAGUCUAUUUCCAGCCUGAGCCAUCUAUGCUGCCUCCUUAAGAGUGAAGCCUGCCUACACUUUGAGAAGCUGAAUACAAACUGAAGACUCACCUUUUCGCUGUGGUCACAGACAUCCAGGCAGCCUCGCUUCUUUCCUGAAAGUCGGACGUUCCCAUGGUCCCUCCUCUUCAAGGAAUCAGCCAUCCCAGGACUCGUUAACACCAAGUGAUCUGUAACUUUAAUUCAUGUCAAUCUGGUUAUGUACUUGAAAAUUGCCAGGAUAUUUUUGAAUUAUCAGUAUCAUUAAAGCUCAGACACAUGUGGAUAAUGAACAAUCCUUCCCCUUCACCUAUAAAAAUCCAAAGCUGACAUUGAAUUUAUGCUAUUUAACAUAAAAUUUCUUGGCAUUUUUUAAACAAACUGUAUAAGGACUGAAUUACUGCACAAAGUAUUGCCUGCUUUUCGAAGACUGAGACCACAUGAUUUAAAUGUAACAAUUUUUUUUUUUUUGAGAUGGAGUCUUACUCUGUCGCCCAUGCUGGAGUGCAGUGGUGUGAUCUCAGCUCACUGCAACCUUGG
RNAcentral lists this long non-coding RNA (573 nucleotides) under Homo sapiens (human). Its description in RNAcentral is "HSALNT0072307". Lineage: Eukaryota; Metazoa; Chordata; Mammalia; Primates; Hominidae. The record is from RNAcentral.